CCUACGGGAGGCUGCAGUGAGGAAUAUUGGUCAAUGGACGAGAGUCUGAACCAGCCAAGUAGCGUGAAGGAUGACUGCCCUAUGGGUUGUAAACUUCUUUUAUAUGGGAAUAAAACGUUCCACGUGUGGGAUUUUGUAUGUACCAUAUGAAUAAGGAUCGGCUAACUCCGUGCCAGCAGCCGCGGUAAUACGGAGGAUCCGAGCGUUAUCCGGAUUUAUUGGGUUUAAAGGGUGCGUAGGUGGAUUGUUAAGUCAGUUGUGAAAGUUUGCGGCUCAACAGUAAAAUUGCAGUUGAAACUGGCAGUCUUGAGUACAGUAGAGGUGGGCGGAAUUAGUGGUGUAGCGGUGAAAUGCUUAGAUAUCACGAAGAACUCCGAUUGCGAAGGCAGUUCACUGGACUGCAACUGACACUGAGGCUCGAAAGUGUGGGUAUCAAACAGGAUUAGAUACCCGUGUAGUC
Molecule: ribosomal RNA, 460 nt
Filed under: uncultured bacterium
Lineage: Bacteria
Description: partial 16S ribosomal RNA
Rfam family: Bacterial small subunit ribosomal RNA
Source: RNAcentral